AUUGAACGCUGGCGGCAUGCCUUACACAUGCAAGUCGAACGGCAGCACGGGUGCUUGCACCUGGUGGCGAGUGGCGAACGGGUGAGUAAUAUAUCGGAACGUACCUUAUCGUGGGGGAUAACGCAGCGAAAGCUGCGCUAAUACCGCAUACGCCCUGAGGGGGGAAANCGGGGGACCGUAAGGCCUCGCGCGAUUAGAGCGGCCGAUAUCUGAUUAGCUUGUUGGUGGGGUAAAGCCCACCAAGGCGACGAUCAGUAGCUGGUCUGAGAGGACGAUCAGCCACACUGGGACUGAGACACGGCCCAGACUCCUACGGGAGGCAGCAGUGGGGAAUUUUGGACAAUGGGGGCAACCCUGAUCCAGCAAUGCCGCGUGAGUGAAGAAGGCCUUC
Molecule: ribosomal RNA, 391 nt
Filed under: uncultured bacterium
Lineage: Bacteria
Description: bacterial SSU rRNA
Rfam family: Bacterial small subunit ribosomal RNA
Source: RNAcentral